This 296-nucleotide small RNA is filed under the name Paenibacillus sp. D9. RNAcentral describes it as "5' ureB small RNA". It matches the Rfam family "5' ureB small RNA". Lineage: Bacteria; Bacillati; Bacillota; Bacilli; Caryophanales; Paenibacillaceae. The record is from Rfam by way of RNAcentral.
CCGUCUCGAUCUGCUGGGGACAAAUGUAAUGGAUGUGGGCGUCGAUGCCGCCCGCCGUGACGAUCUUGCCUUCGGCGGCUAUGACCUCCGUGCUCGCUCCGACCGUCAUGCCCGGCGUGACGCCGUCCAUGAUAUCCGGGUUGCCGGCCUUGCCGAUUGCGACGAUAUGUCCGUCCCGAAUGCCGAUGUCGGCUUUGACGAUGCCCCAAUGGUCAAUGAUGACGGCAUUCGUUAUCAGCGUGUCCAGCACCCCCUCGCUGCGAAGCGCCCCGCUGGACUGGCCCAUGCCGUCCCGG